GCCAGCGUGGCCUAGUGGUUUCAGCAUUGGACUACGACUCUGGAGACCAGGGUUCGAAUCUCGGCUGGGCC
Molecule: non-coding RNA, 71 nt
Organism: Phrynosoma platyrhinos (Desert horned lizard)
Lineage: Eukaryota; Metazoa; Chordata; Lepidosauria; Squamata; Phrynosomatidae
Source: the annotation of a GenBank genome assembly